CGGCGAGUGAAGCGGGAUGAGCUCAAGCUUNAAAUCUUCGUUGCUUGCAACGGCGAAUUGUAGCCUCGAGAAGCGUUUUCCAGCCGGAUGGUCUGUGCUCAAGUUGCCUGGAACGGCACAUCGUAGAGGGUGACAAUCCCGUACGCGGCGCAGGGCACCGGUCACGAUACGCUUUCAAUGAGUCGGGUUGCUUGGGAAUGCAGCCCAAAAUGGGAGGUAAACUCCUUCUAAAGCUAAAUAUUGGCACGAGACCGAUAGCGAACAAGUACCGUGAGGGAAAGAUGAAAAGCACUUUGAAAAGAAAGUUAAUAGUACGUGAAACCGUUAAAAGGGAAGCGCAUGGAAUUAGCAAUGCACUUUCGAGAUUCAGGUGAUCGAUUCGAGGCACCGGCGUUUUGCGGAUCUGAAUGGACCGUUGGCGUUGGUCGUYUUGUUUUGGCUGCCGCAUUUCUCGUCUGUGUGCGUCAACAAAUGUUAGGACCGUGCGAAGAGCCACGAGAGAAGGUGGCCAGUUUCGGCUGGUGUUAUAGCUCUUGUGCGCGAGUUCGGGCCUGACAGAGGAGUUGCGGUACAUGCUCGCAAGGGCUGGCCUCUCUUCUUUCAGUCGGAUGUCAACCAUAGCGGACUGCGUGCAGUGCGUUUGAACCGCGUUUGGCUGUCUGGGGAUGAGUGUACACACUGUGCCAAGGUUGUUGGCGGUCAUAUGAUUUCAUACGACCCGUCUUGAAACACGGACCAAGGAGUCUGACAUGUGUGCGAGUCUUUGGGUGAGUGAAACCCGCAGGCACAAUGAAAGUAAAGGCCUUCGGGCUGAAGUGAGAUCUCUUCGGAGCGCAUCAUUGACCGAUCUAUUCUACUCCUAGAAAGAUUUGAGUAAGAGCACAUCUGUUGGGACCCGAAAGAUGGUGAACUAUGCUUGAGUAGGGCGAAGCCAGAGGAAACUCUGGUGGAGGCUCGUAGCGAUUCUGACGUGCAAAUCGAUCGUCAAACUUGAGUAUAGGGGCGAAAGACUAAUCGAACCAUCUAGUAGCUGGUUCCCUCCGAAGUUUCCCUUAGGAUAGCUGGAACUCGGAACAGUUUUAUCAGGUAAAGCGAAUGAUUAGAGGUCUUAGGGUUGAAACAAUCUUAACCUAUUCUCAAACUUUAAAUUGGUAAGAAGCUCGACUUGCUUAGCUGAAGUCGGGCAACGAAUGAGAGUUCUUAGUGGGCCAUUUUUGGUAAGCAGAACUGGCGAUGCGGGAUGAACCGAACGUUGAGUAAAGGCGCCUAAAUCGACGCUCAUCAGACCCCACAAAAGGUGUUGGUUGAUCCAGACAGCAGGACGGUGGCCAUGGAAGUCGGAAACCGCUAAGGAGUGUGUAACAACACACCUGCCGAAUCAACUAGCCCUGAAAAUGGAUGGCGCUCAAGCGUCGUGCCUAUACUCGACCGUCGAAGUAAAUAGCGAAGCUCCGACGAGUAGGAGGGCGUGGGGGUCGUGACGCAGCCUUUGGCGUGAGCCUGGGUGAAACGGCCUCUAGUGCAGAUCUUGGUGGUAGUAGCAAAUAUUCAAAUGAGAACUUUGAAGACCGAAGUGGAGAAAGGUUCCAUGUGAACAGCAGUUGGACAUGGGUUAGUCGAUCCUAAGAGAUAGGGAAACUCCGUUUUAAAGCGUCCGAUUUUUUGGACCGUUUAUCGAAAGGGAAUCGGGUUAAUAUUCCCGAACCGGAACGCGGAUAUUUCGCGUGGACUUGUCCUCGUGAAUUUGCGGUAACGCAACUGAACUCGGAGACGUCGGCAGGAGCCCUGGGAAGAGUUCUCUUUUCUUGUUAACGCACUGAAACCAUGGAAUCUGAUUGCCAGGAGAUAUGGUCCGAUGUGCGGUAAAGCAUCACACUUCUUGUGAUGUCCGGUGCGCUCCUGAAGGCCCUUGAAAAUCCGAGGGAAAGAUUGAUUCUCGCUUCCGCUCGUACUCAUAACCGCAGCAGGUCUCCUAGGUGAGCAGCCUCUGGUCGAUAGAACAAUGUAGGUAAGGGAAGUCGGCAAAAUAGAUCCGU
RNAcentral lists this ribosomal RNA (2036 nucleotides) under Coryne eximia. RNAcentral describes it as "eukaryotic LSU rRNA". It matches the Rfam family "Eukaryotic large subunit ribosomal RNA", at positions 87 to 1932 of the family's 3401-position model. Lineage: Eukaryota; Metazoa; Cnidaria; Hydrozoa; Anthoathecata; Corynidae. The record is from RNAcentral.